Ribosomal RNA from Anaerobacillus arseniciselenatis, 116 nucleotides. The record is from Rfam. NCBI's taxonomy places the organism in Bacteria, Bacillati, Bacillota, Bacilli, Caryophanales, Bacillaceae.
CUUGGUGGCGAUAGCGAAGAGGUCACACUCGUUCCCAUGCCGAACACGAUCGUUAAGCUCUUCAGCGCCGAUGGUAGUUAGGGGUUUCCCCUUGUGAGAGUAGGACGUUGCCAAGC